CUGGAGGCUAGGCUGGGCCAGUAGCGGCGGCCUGAAAAAUUGAAAUGCUUUGUUGAGAUGUUUAAAGCUUGCAUUUCAUUCCAGGAACCGGAAGUCCGCUUUAGCCGGAGCUGAAAUCUGUAUGCGGCAUUUAUGUUGUCUGCGGUCUGCAUGCUGAACUGCGAAGCCCAGUCCUGUGGGAUUCUGGUAUGGUGAAACGGGUCAGGGCAGGAAUGCAGCAGCCCUAAGCUGUAUUCAGGGUGCUCAUAGGGGUGCUGGGUGGAGUGAUGCUUGCAGAGCAACCUCAGGCAUCAUAUAUGUACAACUACAGGCUGCCUCCAA
RNAcentral lists this signal recognition particle RNA (321 nucleotides) under Candidatus Aenigmatarchaeota archaeon. RNAcentral's name for it is "signal recognition particle sRNA". The stretch from base 165 to 264 matches the Rfam family "Bacterial small signal recognition particle RNA". The record is from RNAcentral. Lineage: Archaea; Nanobdellati; Candidatus Aenigmatarchaeota.